UACGGGGGGGGCAAGCGUUGUUCGGAAUUACUGGGCGUAAAGGGCUAGUAGGCGGCCAACUCAGUCGGAUGUGAAAUCCCCAGGCUCAACUUGGGAACUGCAUCCGAUACUGGAUGGCUUGAAUCCGGGAGAGGGAUGCAGAAUUCCAGGUGUAGCGGUGAAAUGCGUAGAUAUCUGGAGGAAUACCGGUGGCGAAGGCGGCAUCCUGGACCGGCAUUGACGCUGAAUAGCGAAAGCCAGGGGAGCAAACGGG
This 253-nucleotide ribosomal RNA is filed under the name uncultured bacterium. RNAcentral's name for it is "partial 16S ribosomal RNA". It matches the Rfam family "Bacterial small subunit ribosomal RNA", at positions 524 to 776 of the family's 1533-position model. The record is from RNAcentral.